UAACCUGCCCAAGAGAUCGGGAUAACACCUGGAAACAGAUGCUAAUACCGGAUAACAACAGAUGAUGCCUAUCAAACUGUUUAAAAGAUGGUUCUGCUAUCACUCUUGGAUGGACCUGCGGUGCAUUAGCUAGUUGGUAGGGUAACGGCCUACCAAGGCGAUGAUGCAUAGCCGAGUUGAGAGACUGAUCGGCCACAUUGGGACUGAGACACGGCCCAAACUCCUACGGAGGCAGCAGCC
RNAcentral lists this ribosomal RNA (240 nucleotides) under uncultured Lactobacillus sp. RNAcentral describes it as "partial 16S ribosomal RNA". It matches the Rfam family "Bacterial small subunit ribosomal RNA", at positions 122 to 355 of the family's 1533-position model. Lineage: Bacteria; Bacillati; Bacillota; Bacilli; Lactobacillales; Lactobacillaceae. The record is from RNAcentral.